AUUGAACGCUGGCGGCAUGCCUUACACAUGCAAGUCGAACGGCAGCACGGGUGCUUGCACCUGGUGGCGAGUGGCGAACGGGUGAGUAAUACAUCGGAACAUGUCCUGUAGUGGGGGAUAGCCCGGCGAAAGCCGGAUUAAUACCGCAUACGAUCUACGGAUGAAAGCGGGGGACCUUCGGGCCUCGCGCUAUCGGGUUGGCCGAUGGCUGAUUAGCUAGUUGGUGGGGUAAAGGCGAACCAAGGCGACGAGCAGUAGCUGGUCUGAGAGGACGACCAGCCACACUGGGACUGAGACACGGCCCAGACUCCUACGGGAGGCAGCAGUGGGGAAUUUUGGACAAUGGGCGAAAGCCUGAUCCAGCAAUGCCGCGUGUGUGAAGAAGGCCUUCGGGUUGUAAAGCACUUUUGUCCGGAAAGAAAUCCUUGGCCCUAAUACGGUCGGGGGAUGACGGUACCGGAAGAAUAAGCACCGGCUAACUACGUG
Molecule: ribosomal RNA, 486 nt
Filed under: uncultured bacterium
Lineage: Bacteria
Description: partial 16S ribosomal RNA
Rfam family: Bacterial small subunit ribosomal RNA
Source: RNAcentral